UGAACGCUGGCGGCGUGCUUAACACAUGCAAGUCGCACGAGAACGCUUCAGCUUGCUGAAGCAAGUAAAGUGGCGCACGGGUGAGUAACGCGUGGGUAAUCUACCCCCGAAUUUGGAAUAACUUCGCGAAAGCGGAGCUAAUACCGGAUAAUAUCCUUUAAGUCCAGGCUUAUUGGAUCAAAGGUGGCCUCUACAUGUAAGCUACUGUUUGGGGAGGAGCCCGCGUACCAUUAGCUUGUUGGUGGGGUAAUGGCCCACCAAGGCUACGAUGGUUAGCUGGUCUGAGAGGAUGAUCAGCCACACUGGAACUGACACACGGUCCAGACUCCUACGGGAGGCAGCAGUGAGGAAUUUUGCGCAAUGGGGGCAACCCUGACGCAGCAACGCCGCGUGAGUGAUGAAGGCUUUCGGGUCGUAAAGCUCUGUCAAGUGGGAAGAACCUGUAUUUAGAUAAUAUCUGAAUACACUGACGGUACCACUGAAGGAAGCACCGGCUAACUCC
RNAcentral lists this ribosomal RNA (502 nucleotides) under uncultured bacterium. RNAcentral describes it as "bacterial SSU rRNA". It matches the Rfam family "Bacterial small subunit ribosomal RNA", at positions 30 to 504 of the family's 1533-position model. The record is from RNAcentral.